CCUGAUUAUUUUGUAAAAUUGCUUAACCUAAUGUCAAUUGGUAACUUAUUCUGUAUCCAAUUGAUUGCUGCAUACGAGAUUAGGUAAUUGUUAUGGCGGUAUUUGGAAUUGAAUGCGUAUUUGAGUUUUCAAAUUGCAAUCUUUGUGGUUUUGUAAUGCAACAUUGAUCUAAAUCUGUGUUUGGAUGUGAAAGAAGCUGUGUUUUGGCUUCGGAAUCGAUAUGGAUGUUCAUAACUCUGUUAGAAGCUAAUUUGAUAUCAAAUUUGUUUGAUUUCUUCUGUGCUUUUACUUUUAGGUACAUUGGUGUCAGUUAUUAGUUGAGGUUGAAAGUCUUUACUCUGGGCGUAUUAUAUUUUAUUUUAUUUAUACUGGCGUUGUGGUUUAACAUGGAGGGAGCGUUAAAGCUCCACAUCACUGCCAUGUAGGCAACGGGGCAUUAACUAACCCACCGUUUAACUAUCACGUUGUGUGUGUGUGUGUGUGUGUGUGUUUGAGUGGCUCCCACCCGUUUCCAAGGACUGGCGCCCGUUAAUGCCUUAGCGAGCCAUCUUUAACGCCCUGAUGCCAAUAAAUUAGUUGAUUAGCAUAGGUUUCGUUCCUUAUAGUCAUAGCCCAUAGGGUUGAUAUCACUUCUUUUCUGAUUAACAUUAUAUCUGUGUGUCCUGUUCUUGUUCCGUAUAACGUUUUAUCGGAAUCUUUCGACACAACAGUUUUGUGAUAUGACUAUGAACAGAGGCGGUGAUGAGGGUGUGCGGGGAGGACCACCGCACAGGGUCCGUGACUUCGAGGGGCACGUGUUUUAAAAGAAAAUCUGAUAUACAUAUGUUACUUUUUUCUAAAUAGUAUACUCAUAUGUGAUAUGUGUACCAACUACCAUGUUUGAAUGUGGAAGGUAAUAUAUGUUUACCUAAAAGCAUUAGUGCACAUCUUAUGUUAAACUGUUAAAUAUUGUCAUCCAUAUCUAGUUGGUUAAAUGGAUGGGUUAGGUAGCGGGUCAAAUGGGUUAUUUUUUAUAUGGGUCCAAACAAGUCGUCAUUGUCAUUAUAAUAAUAUAUUCUGUUAAAAAUCAAAGCGAUUUGAGAGGUUUCAUGGAUUUGAAUAUACUUUGGACGACUUUAUUACCCAUUCAACUUGUUUCCUUUCUACACAGGCUGUAAAAUUUCACCCAUUUAACACCUAUAUUAUCACAAACACAUUCUGAUUUCACAUUUUUUAUAUUGGUGUAUGUAAUCAUGCAAUACUGAUAUAUAUAUUCUCUAGGGUAAUUUGCAGAAAGGUCAAUGGAAGAGUCAACUGAGAGAUGAGAAAGACUUAAAGCUAUGCGAAUGGAAGCUUCACAGGAGGAUGCAACUUAUAAUAAUGACCAUUCAGCUGUUAGUCUUGCAAACCCGUUACUUGAAUCCACAACUCUGAAACUCAGGCGCAUACUACUUCUCAAAGCUUUGAUUAUUACACCAACCCAAUGGCAGCUUAUUCUCGGAACAAGCACAGGAGCCAGAUGGGAAAAAUGGUUAAGUCAUGAGUCAACAUCAGAUCAAAAACAGGGUACUCUGUUUUGGUCAUCAGAGCAGCCGGCUUCGGCAGAACCCACAUCAGCGCCGCCUUGAAACGACUGCGUUUUAGGGUUAGGUAAUUUUAACAAUUAUUACAAUCCUACCCUCAAAAGGGCUCGUCAACAAUUGUUUGAAAAAAGUGGGAUUUGUAUUGUGGAAGGGGGCAUAAAUGAUGCUGUUUUGCUGAACAAACUCUUUGAGGUAGUACAUAGUAAUAUUGCUGGUUUUGUUAAUAUUCUUGUUGUCUGUAAAAAUGCAAACCCACAGCCUGCAAUUGUUUGGGCCUCUUCUAGUUCUGUCAGAAAAAGACCGAACAGAUUAACCCCACCCGCAAGCCUAUACGCUGCAACGAAAAAAGCGGGUGAAGAAAAAAGGGGCUGCACAGUUAGACACUGCUGAAAAGAGUACAGGAAGUGGUGGGAAGAAAAAAGGGGCUGCACAGUUUAGAAUUUUUAAUUUAGGGAAUGCUUUGCCUGUGCCUGUUUUGGAUCUUGCAAGUAUUUUGGAGACGUUGUUGAAAGUGAAAGCGAAAUGGUGAUGUCCCGUUUACUCGUGCGAAUAUUAGUUUGGCGCAAAGGGAGGUUGGGUAUAAACCAACGACGGAUCUUCAAAUGGGGUUGAAGAAGUUUGUUAGAUGGUAUGAGAAGUAUUAUGGUUCGGGGAUCAAAAGUGAUCAUUGAGGCAAAAAGUGGUAAACUUGUUCUUGAAUUUUUAUUCGUUUUGAUAUACUCAGCAUGAUUCUUUGGUUAAUUUUACACCUUUUGAAAACAACUUAUAUUGUUUUCAAUUGUUGGUAUAUGAUGUUGCAUCAAGUUAGGAGGAAAGAGGGAUCUCAAACGUCAUGGUCUUCAUUUGAGAACUUUGUGUUCUUGUUAACUCGAGCGAAUGUAAUUUUUAUGUAGCAUUAUUAGUGUAGGAUUGUUGACUAACAAAGCAAGUUUAUGUGGUUGGACUUCUAUCGUUUUAUGGUAUUCAAAUAAAUAGAACACAUUAGUUUGAAUGUUUAUGAUGCUUUCUUGUUUAA
Long non-coding RNA from Helianthus annuus (common sunflower), 2577 nucleotides. RefSeq lists it as uncharacterized. Lineage: Eukaryota; Viridiplantae; Streptophyta; Magnoliopsida; Asterales; Asteraceae. The transcript is spliced from 2 exons. The record is from RefSeq and is a predicted model, not a curated record.